UCUCUUUGGGUUGAAAACUCCGGUGGUUAUGGAUGGGCAUGCGUUGUAUUAGCUAGUUGGUGAGGUAACGGCUCACCAAGGCGACGAUACAUAGGGGGACUGAGAGGUUAACCCCCCACAUUGGUACUGAGACACGGACCAAACUCCUACGGGAGGCAGCAGUGAGGAAUAUUGGUCAAUGGACGCAAGUCUGAACCAGCCAUGCCGCGUGCAGGAUGACGGCUCUAUGAGUUGUAAACUGCUUUUGUACGAGGGUAAACUCACCUACGUGUAGGUGACUGAAAGUAUCGUACGAAUAAGGAUCGGCUAACUCCGUGCCAGCAGCCGCGGUAAUACGGAGGAUUCAAGCGUUAUCCGGAUUUAUUGGGUUUAAAGGGUGCGUAGGCGGUUAGAUAAGUUAGAGGUGAAAUCCCGGGGCUUAACUCCGAAAUUGCCUCUAAUACUGUUUGACUAGAGAGUAGUUGCGGUAGGCGGAAUGUAUGGUGUAGCGGUGAAAUGCUUAGAGAUCAUACAGAACACCGAUUGCGAAGGCAGCUUACCAAACUAUAUCUGACGUUGAGGCACGAAAGCGUGGGGAGCAAA
RNAcentral lists this ribosomal RNA (582 nucleotides) under uncultured bacterium. Its description in RNAcentral is "bacterial SSU rRNA". It matches the Rfam family "Bacterial small subunit ribosomal RNA", at positions 190 to 772 of the family's 1533-position model. The record is from RNAcentral.